Molecule: small nucleolar RNA, 138 nt
Organism: Ornithorhynchus anatinus (platypus)
Lineage: Eukaryota; Metazoa; Chordata; Mammalia; Monotremata; Ornithorhynchidae
Source: RefSeq, a predicted model, not a curated record
CCCCUCUCAGGAUCGCACCUGUUGAGUUUCCAAUACUCUACCAGCCUCAACUAAGGGAGAGAGAGUCAAGCAGCAGCAUACACAUUCCAUUCCUAGCUUGGCCAGUGGCUAGUGAAUGGAAGACAAUCUGCUACAAGU